UAUAACCGGCGAUUUCCGAAUGGGGAAACCCAGUGUGUUUCGACACACUAUCAUUAACUGAAUCCAUAGGUUAAUGAGGCGAACCGGGGGAACUGAAACAUCUAAGUACCCCGAGGAAAAGAAAUCAACCGAGAUUCCCCCAGUAGCGGCGAGCGAACGGGGAGGAGCCCAGAGCCUGAAUCAGUGUGUGUGUUAGUGGAAGCGUCUGGAAAGGCGCGCGAUACAGGGUGACAGCCCCGUACACAAAAAUGCACAUAUUGUGAGCUCGAUGAGUAGGGCGGGACACGUGGUAUCCUGUCUGAAUAUGGGGGGACCAUCCUCCAAGGCUAAAUACUCCUGACUGACCGAUAGUGAACCAGUACCGUGAGGGAAAGGCGAAAAGAACCCCGGCGAGGGGAGUGAAAAAGAACCUGAAACCGUGUACGUACAAGCAGUGGGAGCCUCUUAAUGGGGUGACUGCGUACCUUUUGUAUAAUGGGUCAGCGACUUAUAUUCUGUAGCAAGGUUAACCGAAUAGGGGAGCCGAAGGGAAACCGAGUCUUAACUGGGCGUUAAGUUGCAGGGUAUAGACCCGAAACCCGGUGAUCUAGCCAUGGGCAGGUUGAAGGUUGGGUAACACUAACUGGAGGACCGAACCGACUAAUGUUGAAAAAUUAGCGGAUGACUUGUGGCUGGGGGUGAAAGGCCAAUCAAACCGGGAGAUAGCUGGUUCUCCCCGAAAGCUAUUUAGGUAGCGCCUCGUGAAUUCAUCUCCGGGGGUAGAGCACUGUUUCGGCAAGGGGGUCAUCCCGACUUACCAACCCGAUGCAAACUGCGAAUACCGGAGAAUGUUAUCACGGGAGACACACGGCGGGUGCUAACGUCCGUCGUGAAGAGGGAAACAACCCAGACCGCCAGCUAAGGUCCCAAAGUCAUGGUUAAGUGGGAAACGAUGUGGGAAGGCCCAGACAGCCAGGAUGUUGGCUUAGAAGCAGCCAUCAUUUAAAGAAAGCGUAAUAGCUCACUGGUCGAGUCGGCCUGCGCGGAAGAUGUAACGGGGCUAAACCAUGCACCGAAGCUGCGGCAGCGACACUAUGUGUUGUUGGGUAGGGGAGCGUUCUGUAAGCCUGUGAAGGUGUGCUGUGAGGCAUGCUGGAGGUAUCAGAAGUGCGAAUGCUGACAUAAGUAACGAUAAAGCGGGUGAAAAGCCCGCUCGCCGGAAGACCAAGGGUUCCUGUCCAACGUUAAUCGGGGCAGGGUGAGUCGACCCCUAAGGCGAGGCCGAAAGGCGUAGUCGAUGGGAAACAGGUUAAUAUUCCUGUACUUGGUGUUACUGCGAAGGGGGGACGGAGAAGGCUAUGUUGGCCGGGCGACGGUUGUCCCGGUUUAAGCGUGUAGGCUGGUUUUCCAGGCAAAUCCGGAAAACCAAGGCUGAGGCGUGAUGACGAGGCACUACGGUGCUGAAGCGACAAAUGCCCUGCUUCCAGGAAAAGCCUCUAAGCAUCAGGUAACAUCAAAUCGUACCCCAAACCGACACAGGUGGUCAGGUAGAGAAUACCAAGGCGCUUGAGAGAACUCGGGUGAAGGAACUAGGCAAAAUGGUGCCGUAACUUCGGGAGAAGGCACGCUGAUAUGUAGGUGAAGCGACUUGCUCGUGGAGCUGAAAUCAGUCGAAGAUACCAGCUGGCUGCAACUGUUUAUUAAAAACACAGCACUGUGCAAACACGAAAGUGGACGUAUACGGUGUGACGCCUGCCCGGUGCCGGAAGGUUAAUUGAUGGGGUUAGCGGUAACGCGAAGCUCUUGAUCGAAGCCCCGGUAAACGGCGGCCGUAACUAUAACGGUCCUAAGGUAGCGAAAUUCCUUGUCGGGUAAGUUCCGACCUGCACGAAUGGCGUAAUGAUGGCCAGGCUGUCUCCACCCGAGACUCAGUGAAAUUGAACUCGCUGUGAAGAUGCAGUGUACCCGCGGCAAGACGGAAAGACCCCGUGAACCUUUACUAUAGCUUGACACUGAACAUUGAGCCUUGAUGUGUAGGAUAGGUGGGAGGCUUUGAAGUGUGGACGCCAGUCUGCAUGGAGCCGACCUUGAAAUACCACCCUUUAAUGUUUGAUGUUCUAACGUUGGCCCCUGAUCGGGGUUGCGGACAGUGUCUGGUGGGUAGUUUGACUGGGGCGGUCUCCUCCUAAAGAGUAACGGAGGAGCACGAAGGUUGGCUAAUCCUGGUCGGACAUCAGGAGGUUAGUGCAAUGGCAUAAGCCAGCUUGACUGCGAGCGUGACGGCGCGAGCAGGUGCGAAAGCAGGUCAUAGUGAUCCGGUGGUUCUGAAUGGAAGGGCCAUCGCUCAACGGAUAAAAGGUACUCCGGGGAUAACAGGCUGAUACCGCCCAAGAGUUCAUAUCGACGGCGGUGUUUGGCACCUCGAUGUCGGCUCAUCACAUCCUGGGGCUGAAGUAGGUCCCAAGGGUAUGGCUGUUCGCCAUUUAAAGUGGUACGCGAGCUGGGUUUAGAACGUCGUGAGACAGUUCGGUCCCUAUCUGCCGUGGGCGCUGGAGAACUGAGGGGGGCUGCUCCUAGUACGAGAGGACCGGAGUGGACGCAUCACUGGUGUUCGGGUUGUCAUGCCAAUGGCACUGCCCGGUAGCUAAAUGCGGAAGAGAUAAGUGCUGAAAGCAUCUAAGCACGAAACUUGCCCCGAGAUGAGUUCUCCCUG
This 2692-nucleotide ribosomal RNA is filed under the name Escherichia coli. Its description in RNAcentral is "23S ribosomal RNA". It matches the Rfam family "Bacterial large subunit ribosomal RNA". The record is from RNAcentral. Lineage: Bacteria; Pseudomonadati; Pseudomonadota; Gammaproteobacteria; Enterobacterales; Enterobacteriaceae.